UCUCUUCUUUUCCUCUCUAGCCCUGUAGCACUUUAAUUUCAGUUGUUCAAGUUUUUCUUCCAAGUCAUUAGGCGGUUUGUCAGAUAUAUCUUUAUGCACAUCUUUCCAGGUUAGUGUGUUUUGUGUUGCUUUACUGCAAUACAUUAGAUAAUCUUGUGACGAUUCAUUUGGAUCUGGUAUAUGUAACUGAUAUUCUUUUAAAGCUUCUCAACUGUUUUUGAUAGUUAAAAGACAGUACCUGUUUAAGUGGCCAAAAGGAGAAUGACUUGUUUUUGGCAUAGCAUAACUGCUAUUAUGAUAUAUUAAUUCCAGAAAUCUCGGCCUCAAAUCCGUCUAUCAUGUUUGGUCUGUUCUCUUCCUUCUUGAUAUGUUUUUGCAUGAAAAACUUUUAUUAAAGGUUUGUCUGUGUAAUAUGUUUCCAAGUAAGAUGAAGGCCAAAAUCACUCUCGAGCUAAAGCAUAGUUAUAUUUGUUCCAAUUCAAAAAAACAUACUUUAAUGUUUUAGAAUACUACUAAAGCUUGAUUGUUUACUGGAAAGUCGAAACUAGAGAGGAAUAGCUUCGUAACUACGCUGUGGCACCUUCUUGAAGAGCGCCCAAGCCAGAUCAAGGUAUAGGGGAAACUGCGCUAUGGCAAACAGCGUCACCGGCAGGCAAGUCACUGCAUAUACCGGAAAUGCCGCGUAUU
RNAcentral lists this long non-coding RNA (687 nucleotides) under Gossypium barbadense (sea-island cotton). RNAcentral describes it as "long non-coding RNA (GBAR_LNC018350)". Lineage: Eukaryota; Viridiplantae; Streptophyta; Magnoliopsida; Malvales; Malvaceae. The record is from RNAcentral.